AUUUAUAUAGUUUAAAAAAACAUUUCAUUUUCAAUGAAAAAAUAAGAAUAUUAUUUAAAUCUUUAUAAAUU
Molecule: transfer RNA, 71 nt
Filed under: Conaspidia wangi
Lineage: Eukaryota; Metazoa; Arthropoda; Insecta; Hymenoptera; Tenthredinidae
Description: tRNA-Glu
Source: RNAcentral